UAGUGUGCGAGGUAAAGGUUCCUUUUGUCUCGUGUCUUUUUCUUCCCUAAAACUAAACGAGAGCACGCGGACGCCGCAGCAGGUGUUGCGGUUAGACCCGUUCGUGAGCUAGGAGAUGUAUUCGCCGAGGGGAGGUGGUAGGGGAAGGAAAGGAGAAGGCGGAGGGGGAGGACCGGCGGCGGAAACGGGGGGGAGGGCGACGGCGCCGCGGCGGCGGCGGCCUGCGUAGGCUAAGAGGGCGGCGGCGGCGGCGAGGGCAAGAACCGGCGGCGGGGGAGCAGUCGUUAGAGCCUGUAAGCAGAAGCUCCACCAUCGCAAUGUACUAACUUGUCAUGGGAUGUCAUGAAGGGUCUGAUUAAACGACACUAAGUGAACCGGUCUAUUUUGGGACCACACUAAGGAGACUUCAAAUCGUAACAGAGACGAAACUCUUCUUUAUUGAAGUAGAGAUGCAUCUCGUGACCUUCUACCUAGCAUCUCUAUGAAGUCCCAAACAGUCGCCACCAACGUUUCUAUUGUACAUGACGAUUUACGGAAUCCAAAAGAUUGAACCAUCAAGCAACUGGUAAUAAAUUGGGCCUUCACUCCGUUCGAACCAGUGACUAUUGUUACCUAGGGUCCGGACCCGUCAGUCGUAAAUGAUAUUCAAAGAGUUUAGGUUCCCGGUAACACUCGUUCAAGGGACAGCAGGGUCAUCGGUCAGUGGGGUGUCUGUCAUUAUCAGUUGAACUACCCGUUCGAGUGCCAAUAGACAUGUUGGUUGGUUCUCCUUGGUUCUCCUUCAAACUACCGAACAGCGAACCAGACCCGUUGAGUAGUUUGAGUCUAAGGUCGUUCGUUUCAUACGCACGACCGACGUGGUAUAGAAGAGGAUUCCCAUCACUACUUCCAAGAAGACAACUAAACCCGAAUUUAAUAGAAUGCGACCCGUCACUUCCAUGAAGGUCCGACCUAUUCGUCCGAUCACUAAAAUUCUCUUGAAGCCGCUUUCGACCCGACCUAGAACUCAAUAGAAACAGACAACCUGGUACAGUUAGACGAUAAUGACCUGUUCUGGAUUGAAGUCGUUGGUUUGUCUUGUCGUGUAAAGACGUCGGUAUGUAAUACCUGAAUCAGGGUUCUCAACUGCUUCCAAGAUGUAGAGAAGCAGCUGGCAGACCACCAGUCAAGGAAAGAAAGGAAUUAUUCUGACGUUACUACUGACCCAAAAGAGACUCCGUUCAAAAUAGUCCGUCGAGAUUGGUCUCAGUCCCAGGUCGAAGUUACGGUUGUAACGAGGUUGAUGUUCUUUCAGGUCGCUGGACAUGAAGGCCCAGACAAUCAGGUGUUGUAGCGUAGUCGUCGUGUUUUCAAACAAGUAUAGGUCCUACAUCUUUUCCCCGGUCUCCAAGCAGUCCCGCGACGUAACGUGUACCACCCCCCUCUUCCACGGCAUUUCUCCCUACGUUGUUUCCGCGGCUCCCGUUCUGGUAGAAGACAUUUCGAGUACCUCCCCCUGCCGCGACGCCCGUGGAACCCACGUGGUUCUCGCGACUUCCGGCGUGACUAAUGACGUAUCCGGUACCACCACCAGCCGCAACAUAGGUACUGCCGACGUCUUCUCGCCGUUCUCCCUUUAGACCGGCGACAUAGUUUGUACCACCACCCUUUUCCACAGUUGUCCUCUUGACGUGUUUCUCGCGCCUUCCCGCAAGUCCGAAUACGUAACGGGUACCUCCGCCUGGAGCGACAGUCGUACGACCAACGUGCUUCCCGCGGGUCCCUUCAUGACUAAAGACGUUUAGCGUACCACCACCGUCUUCUACGUGCGUGGGACUGACAUGUUUCCCACGACUCCCUUCGUGCGGUAAGACGUUUCCCGUACCUCCUCCGUUUGCAACAAGCCGAGUUCCGACGUGUUUUACACACGUGCCUCCAUGUGUCAAGACGCAACGCGUACCUCCACCGUUCUCCACACACCACCUUCCUACGUGGUUCUCGCGAGCUCCAGCAUGGCUAGCGACGCAACCAGUACCACCCCCGUUCUCCACGUAUAGACGACCCACACUAUUCUCGCGUGUCCCUUCGUGGCUGAAGACGUUCCGUGUGCCGCCCCCGUUUGCGACGUGCACCCCGGUGGGUCCCAGGCUGGAGCCUCGACCGUCAGGAGGGACACUGGCGGAACGUUCUCCGUUCUUUCCGUACACGCAAGUAGUGUUGGGCGACGACCUACUACUGGCAUAGGUGCCACCGGCUUGCGACCGGCGAAAGUCGUAAUGUUCGUCGCGACGAAGGGAACUAGCAGCCUCGGUGGGACGUUUGAGGCUUUGGUCGUCCGCGUCGUAGAGGUACGAAGGUCACCUCCGAGGGCCAGCACGCGGAGAAGGGCUCCCGGCCCACGUGCCGCCAUUGUAGCACAGUUACAAACGAUUACCAGACUCGAAGCCCCUCCUGAGGUCGUUGUUGCGACUCCGGUCAUGGAGCCGCGGAGCGUCGAGGUUUGGACGGUUCCUUAAGUCGCGGAGACCAGCGUCGUCGACCGAGAUCGCGGGUUCCGAAAGGAGGACGGGCUGUAGGCAAAGCUGUGCCAAGCAAAGCAGACCGUUCAUAGAGGACGAGGACAGGAUACCACACUUCUUCCGACGCCAUACUAACACACUUCACAACAGAAUGAAUACCUAAACAUACAUAAUUGAUGGGGAGACAUUCUAUCUAUAUUUAUUUUUCCCCAACCCACACCUUCACAAUUAAUUACAAUCCAGAACACAACUUCUUCCACUGGAAGACCUAGGAAGAAGACAAGGUUUUUUUUUCAACACACACAUCAUGUCACCAGACAAUGUCAAUACGUACUUCUUUAAUCAGUACACACUCCAAGGAGGGUAGUCAACCAAGCGGAUACCUUGUAAACCAACAUCAUUUAUAACUUCAACGGUACGACAACAUAUGUUUGUAUAUAACACACACACAUUUCAACCAAAACAGGGUAGACUUGUUAUUCUUUCAAUACCAACACUACCAACGACAUAGAGGGUAGGAGACACGG
This 3025-nucleotide ribosomal RNA is filed under the name Triticum aestivum (bread wheat). RNAcentral describes it as "partial small subunit ribosomal RNA". Lineage: Eukaryota; Viridiplantae; Streptophyta; Magnoliopsida; Poales; Poaceae. The record is from RNAcentral.